RNAcentral lists this small RNA (635 nucleotides) under Pan troglodytes (chimpanzee). RNAcentral describes it as "retained intron". Lineage: Eukaryota; Metazoa; Chordata; Mammalia; Primates; Hominidae. The record is from RNAcentral.
AAAACCCAGAACUUUCACAUUAGACUUUUAUAGUGGCUGGGGACUAUAUUAAAUUGGAAAACAACCUUGUGGCUUGCCAAAAUCUGGAAUGGUAUGGAAGGGUAUAUAAGUCAAUAGUCAUAACUAGAAGUGUAGAAAUUAGGGAAGUAAAACUUAAAUCUCACACUGUAGUCUCCCCACCACUAUGCCCCAAGAAGUCCUAAGAAUGCUUACAAUAUUAUCUCCUUUUUCUUCAGCUCCCAUUGCUAUCACAUGUUUUACCAGAGGCUUGGACAUCAGGAAAGAGAAAGCAGAUGUCCUCUGCCCAGGGGGCUGCCCUCUUGAGGAAUUCUCUGUGUAUGGGAACAUAGUAUAUGCUUCUGUAUCGAGCAUAUGUGGGGCUGCUGUCCACAGGGGAGUAAUCAGCAACUCAGGGGGACCUGUACGAGUCUAUAGCCUACCUGGUCGAGAAAACUAUUCCUCAGUAGAUGCCAAUGGCAUCCAGUCUCAAAUGCUUUCUAGAUGGUCUGCUUCUUUCACAGUAACUAAAGGCAAAAGUAGUACACAGGAGGCCACAGGACAAGCAGUGUCCACAGCACAUCCACCAACAGGUAAACGACUAAAGAAAACACCCGAGAAGAAGACUGGCAAUAAAG